UGAAAAUCCCUAUGAGACGCGCUCCGACA
This 29-nucleotide non-coding RNA is filed under the name Mus musculus (house mouse). Lineage: Eukaryota; Metazoa; Chordata; Mammalia; Rodentia; Muridae. The record is from RNAcentral.